CCUACGGGAGGCAGCAGUGGGGGAUAUUGCACAAUGGGGGAAACCCUGAUGCAGCGACGCCGCGUGAGCGAUGAAGUAUUUCGGUAUGUAAAGCUCUAUCAGCAGGGAAGAAAAUGACGGUACCUGACUAAGAAGCCCCGGCUAACUACGUGCCAGCAGCCGCGGUAAUACGCAGGGGGCAAGCGUUAUCCGGAUUGACUGGGUGUAAAGGGAGCGCAGGCGGGAAGCCAAGUCAGCUGUGAAAACUACGGGCUUAACUUGUAGACUGCACUUGAAACUGGUUUUCUUGAGUGAAGUAGAGGUUGGCGGAAUUCCGGGUGUAGCAGUGAAAUGCGUAGAUAUUCGGAGGAACACCGGUGGCGAAGGCGGCCUACUGGGCUUUAACUGACGCUGAGGCUCGAAGGUGUGGGGAGCGAACGGGAUUAGAUACCCUUGUAGUC
Molecule: ribosomal RNA, 440 nt
Filed under: uncultured bacterium
Lineage: Bacteria
Description: partial 16S ribosomal RNA
Rfam family: Bacterial small subunit ribosomal RNA
Source: RNAcentral